GUAGGGUGCAAGCGUUGCCCGGAUUUAUUGGGCGUAAAGGGCGCGUAGGCGGCUCUGCACGUUCGUUGUGAAAUCGCCCGGCUCAACUGGGCGGGGUCAGCGGAUACGGCAGAGCUUGAGCAAGCUAGGGGGCAAUGGAAUUCCCGGUGUAGUGGUGGAAUGCGUAGAUAUCGGGAGGAACACCAGUGGCGAAGGCGGUUGCCUGGGGCUUUGCUGACGCUGAUGCGCGAAAGCGUGGGGAGCGAUCCGGAUUAGAUACCCGGGUAGUCCACGCCGUAAACGAUGUCGACUAGGUGUCGGGGGUAUCGACCCCCUCGGCGCCGCAGCUAACGCAUUAAGUCGACCGCCUGGGGACUACGGCCGCAAGGCUA
Molecule: ribosomal RNA, 371 nt
Filed under: uncultured bacterium
Lineage: Bacteria
Description: bacterial SSU rRNA
Rfam family: Bacterial small subunit ribosomal RNA
Source: RNAcentral